GACGUAGGGCGCGAGCGUUGUCCGGAUUUAUUGGGCGUAAAGAGCUCGUAGGCGGCUCGUUGCGUCGGCUGUGAAAACCCGCAGCUCAACUGUGGGCUUGCAGCCGAUACGGGCGGGCUGGGAUUCGGUAGGGGAGACUGGAAUUCCUGGUGUAGCGGUGAAAUGCGCAGAUAUCAGGAGGAACACCGGUGGCGAAGGCGGGUCUCUGGGCCGAUAUUGACGCUGAGGAGCGAAAGCGUGGGGAGCGAACAGG
Molecule: ribosomal RNA, 253 nt
Filed under: uncultured bacterium
Lineage: Bacteria
Description: partial 16S ribosomal RNA
Rfam family: Bacterial small subunit ribosomal RNA
Source: RNAcentral